CUGCCUACGGGACGCAGCAGUGGGGAAUAUUGCACAAUGGGGGAAACCCUGAUGCAGCGACGCCGCGUGAGUGAAGAAGUAUUUCGGUAUGUAAAGCUCCAUCAGCAGGGAAGAAAAUGACGGUACCUGACCAAGAAGCCCCGGCUAACUACGUGCCAGCAGCCGCGGUAAUACGUAGGGGGCAAGCGUUAUCCGGAUUUACUGGGUGUAAAGGGAGCGUAGACGGCUGUGCAAGUCAGAAGUGAAAGCCCGGGGCUCAACCCCGGGACUGCUUUUGAAACUGUGCGGCUAGAGUGUCGGAGGGG
RNAcentral lists this ribosomal RNA (305 nucleotides) under uncultured bacterium. RNAcentral's name for it is "bacterial SSU rRNA". It matches the Rfam family "Bacterial small subunit ribosomal RNA", at positions 335 to 657 of the family's 1533-position model. The record is from RNAcentral.